Molecule: non-coding RNA, 28 nt
Filed under: Bombyx mori (domestic silkworm)
Lineage: Eukaryota; Metazoa; Arthropoda; Insecta; Lepidoptera; Bombycidae
Source: RNAcentral
UUAUUAACAAUGAUCAGUGAGCCACCUC